Long non-coding RNA from Amphimedon queenslandica, 792 nucleotides. RefSeq lists it as uncharacterized. The transcript has 5 exons. The record is from RefSeq and is a predicted model, not a curated record. NCBI's taxonomy places the organism in Eukaryota, Metazoa, Porifera, Demospongiae, Haplosclerida, Niphatidae.
CAACUCACCAAAUUUAGUCUCUUACCAAUAAAACUGUACUUCACUUGAUUAUAGUAAGGUUAUUGUAUUAAUUUUCAUUAGGACCAGAGAAGAAGAAGCAUAAAGGACAGAUACAGGUGUAUGUUAUAAGAUGGCGUCCAUCACAAUGUUCAGUUGAUCCAAUAGAAGAAAUUAUACUGGAUAAUAAUGAUCCUAAGCAUGCUAUUGAAAAGCUGUCAGAGUUAAGUGGAGUACCUGCUGAGUAUAUCUUUUGUGCAAAGUAUGGAUUAUCAUUAUUUCCAGUUGAGAUGUCAUGUCUUGAUAUUGAGAAUAAGUUGAUAUGGUAUUCCAUCACUUCAGACAGGUCCUCAUUAGAACUAUUUAGUGAUGGACGUGUCAUAUAUUACAAAGACAAUAGAGAGACAAUGAAAGAGUUAACAAGUGGCAGAGGAAGCAAGGUUGAAGAAAAUUGAGAAAUACUGGUUGGAUUAAUUUAAUUUAGAAGCUUGUAUUAUAUCAUUUUAAUCUUUAUAUUUUAAAAUUAAUGGUAAUUUUAAAAUAAUUAUGUAUCCAAGUGCACUUUAAAAAACUCUUGUGUAGUUUGUUUAAUGGCUCCAUUUUACUUUUUUAUUAUUGAGAAUUUUACAAUGCACUAGAGUUUACACAACAGUGGCAAUGACUAUGCUAUGCACUGAAAAGUCCCUAAGCAGCUUGUGCUUGGACCAUAAACUAAAAGGCCAGGUAUUCUAUCUCAAGGCUUAAAUUGGACACAGGCAGUUGAGGAAUAUUGAGUUUACAACAGUCAGAAGAAAA